RNAcentral lists this ribosomal RNA (344 nucleotides) under uncultured bacterium. RNAcentral describes it as "bacterial SSU rRNA". It matches the Rfam family "Bacterial small subunit ribosomal RNA", at positions 8 to 334 of the family's 1533-position model. The record is from RNAcentral.
AGAGUUUGAUCAUGGCUCAGGAUGAACGCUGGCGGCGUGCCUAACACAUGCAAGUCGAGCGAAGCGAUUUAGCGGAAGUUUUCGGAUGGAAGUUAAAUUGACUGAGCGGCGGACGGGUGAGUAACGCGUGGGUAACCUGCCUCAUACAGGGGGAUAACAGUUAGAAAUGACUGCUAAUACCGCAUAAGCGCACAGCAUCGCAUGAUGCAGUGUGAAAAACUCCGGUGGUAUGAGAUGGACCCGCGUCUGAUUAGCUAGUUGGUGAGGUAACGGCUCACCAAGGCGACGAUCAGUAGCCGACCUGAGAGGGUGAUCGGCCACAUUGGGACUGAGACACGGCCCAA